GUUUCCUCCUCCUCUUUAAAACGUAGGUCCCGAGCGUUGUUCGGAUUCACUGGGUGUAAAGGGCGCGUAGGUGGUUGUCUGUGUCUCAUGUGAAAACUCAGGGCUCAACUCUGAGAGUGCUUGGGAAACUAGGCAGCUAGAGGACGGUAGAGGGGAGUGGAAUUCCCGGUGUAGCGGUAAAAUGCGUAGAUAUCGGGAGGAACACCGGUGGCGAAGGCGGCUCUCUGGGCCGAUCCUGACGCUGAGGCGCGAAAGCUAGGGGAGCGAACCGGAUUAGAUACCCGGGUAGUCCUAGCCGUAAACGAUGGGUGCUAGGUGUUGGGGGGUAAAGACCCUUCAGUGCCGAAGCCAACGCGAUAAGCAUCCCACCUGGGGAGUACGGCCGCAAGGUUGAAACUUAAAGGAAUUGGCGG
RNAcentral lists this ribosomal RNA (413 nucleotides) under uncultured bacterium. Its description in RNAcentral is "bacterial SSU rRNA". It matches the Rfam family "Bacterial small subunit ribosomal RNA", at positions 505 to 916 of the family's 1533-position model. The record is from RNAcentral.